AUGGACCUUUGCUUCGACUCGUUCACAGCAGAAGCAAUUGCAGUGAGGUUUGGUUUGAAUCUUGCUAAUACCGUCGGAUGUAGUAAGAUUGAAGUGAAUUCGGAUAGCGUGGAGGUGGUGAAUGCGUUGAGCCAAGGCUACUCUUCUUCAGUCACUUCAUCCAUUAUAGACUGUUAUUUCAUGUCAUUAGGUUUUUCCCAUGUCAUUUAUGAUCAUUGUAAUAGGGAAUGUAAUCGAGUAGCUCAUGAACUAGCAAGGUUAGCUAGGUUUUCUUCUCCGAGUGUUUGGAUGGAUAACGCCCCUAAUGAGGUUAUCCCUUUACUUAUAAACGAUGCUACUUUACUUAUGAAUGAAUAA
RNAcentral lists this ribosomal RNA (357 nucleotides) under Triticum aestivum (bread wheat). RNAcentral describes it as "partial small subunit ribosomal RNA". The record is from RNAcentral. Lineage: Eukaryota; Viridiplantae; Streptophyta; Magnoliopsida; Poales; Poaceae.